GCAUGGAGAUGAUUGGAAACAGAAUAGAUGUAAAAGUAGUUGGUGUACAUGUACAGACCAUAAAGAUGGAGUCCAGGUGGGUUUGAUGCUGCUGGGCAGGCUGACCACUGGGACCUUCUGAGCUCUCCUGGUCCAGUCUUCUGUCAUAUGGAUU
Molecule: long non-coding RNA, 154 nt
Organism: Etheostoma spectabile (orangethroat darter)
Lineage: Eukaryota; Metazoa; Chordata; Actinopteri; Perciformes; Percidae
Exons: 3
Source: RefSeq, a predicted model, not a curated record